RNAcentral lists this ribosomal RNA (397 nucleotides) under uncultured bacterium. RNAcentral describes it as "bacterial SSU rRNA". It matches the Rfam family "Bacterial small subunit ribosomal RNA", at positions 29 to 424 of the family's 1533-position model. The record is from RNAcentral.
AUUGAACGCUGGCGGCGUGCCUAACACAUGCAAGUCGAGCGGUAACAGGUGUAGCAAUACAUGCUGACGAGCGGCGAACGGGUGAGUAAUGCUUCGGAAUCUACCCAAUGGUGGGGAAUAACCAGCCGAAAGGUUGGCUAAUACCGCAUACGUCCCACGGGAGAAAGCAGGGGAUCGCAAGACCUUGCGCCAAUGGAUGAGCCGAAGUCGGAUUAGCUAGUUGGAGGGUAACGGCCUACCAAGGCGACGAUCCGUAGCUGGUCUGAGAGGACGACCAGCCACACUGGGACUGAGACACGGCCCAGACUCCGUACGGGAGGCAGCAGUGGGGAAUAUUGGACAAUGGGGGAAACCCUGAUCCAGCGACGCCGCGUGUGUGAAGAAGGCCUGGCGGGUU